This 420-nucleotide ribosomal RNA is filed under the name Chloroflexota bacterium. Its description in RNAcentral is "Chloroflexi bacterium partial 16S ribosomal RNA". It matches the Rfam family "Bacterial small subunit ribosomal RNA", at positions 355 to 776 of the family's 1533-position model. Lineage: Bacteria; Bacillati; Chloroflexota. The record is from RNAcentral.
UGGGGGAUAUUGCACAAUGGGCGAAAGCCUGAUGCAGCGACGCCGCGUGGGGGAUGAAGGCUUUCGGGUUGUAAACCUCUUUCGCUAUCGAACAAGGCCCGCUUAGGGUGGGUUGAGGGUAGGUGGAGAAGAAGCGCCGGCUAACUACGUGCCAGCAGCCGCGGUAAUACGUAGGGCGCGAGCGUUGUCCGGAAUUAUUGGGCGUAAAGGGCUUGUAGGCGGCUUGUUGCGCCUGCUGUGAAAACGCGGGGCUUAACUUCGCGCGUGCAGUGGGUACGGGCAGGCUUGAGUGUGGUAGGGGUGACUGGAAUUCCAGGUGUAGCGGUGGAAUGCGCAGAUAUCUGGAGGAAUACCGGUGGCGAAGGCGGCCCCCUGGACAAAGACUGACGCUCAGGUGCGAAAGCGUGGGGAGCAAACAGG